CCCUCAAGAUGAGAUAUCCCAUAACGUCAAGUUAGUAAGACCCCUUGAAGACGACGAGGUAGAUAGGGCAGAGGUGGAAGUGCGGUAACGCAUGGAGCUGACUGUUACUAAUAGGUCGAGGGCAUAACCAA
Molecule: ribosomal RNA, 131 nt
Filed under: Faecalimonas nexilis
Lineage: Bacteria; Bacillati; Bacillota; Clostridia; Lachnospirales; Lachnospiraceae
Description: partial 23S ribosomal RNA
Rfam family: Bacterial large subunit ribosomal RNA
Source: RNAcentral